GAUGAACGCUGGCGGCGUGCCUAAUACAUGCAAGUCGAGCGAACGGACGAGAAGCUUGCUUCUCUGAUGUUAGCGGCGGACGGGUGAGUAACACGUGGAUAACCUACCUAUAAGACUGGGAUAACUUCGGGAAACCGGAGCUAAUACCGGAUAAUAUUUUGAACCGCAUGGUUCAAAAGUAAAAGACGGUCUUGCUGUCACUUAUAGAUGGAUCCGCGCUGCAUUAGCUAGUUGGUAAGGUAACGGCUUACCAAGGCAACGAUGCAUAGCCGACCUGAGAGGGUGAUCGGCCACACUGGAACUGAGACACGGUCCAGACUCCUACGGGAGGCAGCAGUAGGGAAUCUUCCGCAGUGGGCGAAAGCCUGACGGAGCAACGCCGCGUGAGUGAUGAAGGUCUUCGGAUCGUAAAACUCUGUUAUUAGGGAAGAACAUAUGUGUAAGUAACUGUGCACAUCUUGACGGUACCUAAUCAGAAAGCCACGGCUAACUACAU
RNAcentral lists this ribosomal RNA (496 nucleotides) under uncultured bacterium. RNAcentral describes it as "partial 16S ribosomal RNA". It matches the Rfam family "Bacterial small subunit ribosomal RNA", at positions 28 to 506 of the family's 1533-position model. The record is from RNAcentral.